Molecule: ribosomal RNA, 492 nt
Filed under: uncultured bacterium
Lineage: Bacteria
Description: partial 16S ribosomal RNA
Rfam family: Bacterial small subunit ribosomal RNA
Source: RNAcentral
AGUGAACGCUGGCGGUAGGCCUAACACAUGCAAGUCGAACGGCAGCACAGUAAGAGCUUGCUCUUACGGGUGGCGAGUGGCGGACGAGUGAGGAAUACAUCGGAAUCUACUUUUUCGUGGGGGAUAACGUAGGGAAACUUACGCUAAUACCGCAUACGACCUACGGGUGAAAGCAGGGGAUCUUCGGACCUUGCGCGAUUGAAUGAGCCGAUGUCGGAUUAGCUAGUUGGCGGGGUAAAGGCCCACCAAGGCGACGAUCCGUAGCUGGUCUGAGAGGAUGAUCAGCCACACUGGAACUGAGACACGGUCCAGACUCCUACGGGAGGCAGCAGUGGGGAAUAUUGGACAAUGGGCGCAAGCCUGAUCCAGCCAUACCGCGUGGGUGAAGAAGGCCUUCGGGUUUUAAAGCCCUUUUGUUGGGAAAGAAAAGCAGCAGGUUAAUACCCCGCUGUUCUGACGGUACCCAAAGAAUAAGCACCGGCUAACUUCGUG